GACGUAGGGGGCUAGCGUUGUCCGGAAUUACUGGGCGUAAAGCGCGCGUAGGCGGCUUGGUCAGCGGUGGGUGCAAUUUCGGGGCUCAACUCCGAAACUGCUCGCCGAACUGCCAGGCUAGAGUACGGGAGAGGGCAGUGGAAUUCCCGGUGUAGCGGUGGAAUGCGUAAAUAUCGGGAAGAACUCCAGUGGCGAAGGCUGCUGCCUGGAACGUUACUGACGCUAAGGCGCGAAAGCUAGGGGAGCGAACGGGAUUAGAUACCCGCGUA
RNAcentral lists this ribosomal RNA (269 nucleotides) under uncultured prokaryote. Its description in RNAcentral is "partial 16S ribosomal RNA". It matches the Rfam family "Bacterial small subunit ribosomal RNA", at positions 524 to 792 of the family's 1533-position model. The record is from RNAcentral.